Molecule: unclassified non-coding RNA, 323 nt
Filed under: Hevea brasiliensis (rubber tree)
Lineage: Eukaryota; Viridiplantae; Streptophyta; Magnoliopsida; Malpighiales; Euphorbiaceae
Source: RNAcentral
UAUUUACCUAGAAUUUAGGAGGUUACAGAGGUUAGCAUACAUACAAACUGUUCAAGCAAAGCUACAUGACAUUAGCCAUCACUGGUUUCUCAAUUAGCCAACUGGCUAACCAUUGGCAGAGGAUACAUCAUACAUGAAUAUCAAACCGAAAAGGUCACAUUUGAUACAAGUUUCAUCUAAUCUAGUUUACUAAACCAUAGAUAACUGGUUACUGAUUAAAAAAGUUAUAUCUAAACCAAUAUAUGAAUCUCAUAUCUUUCUGGGUACCUCAACACAAAGGUUUAUAUCAAGCCACCUGAAUAGACUAAACUGGAAUUAGAAAA